CACGGACCCAUCGACCAGCUUCCUUAGGCACGGCUCCACCUGUAAGGCAUGCGAGGACAUAUACAAAUACCUAAGGAGCAGCUCUAUCGAGACUUGGCUUGGAACGAAUAGGAUGGCGGCUACGGCCGAGUCUGGCUAGGCGUGCUCUGUCUUCUUCUUCCUCUCAUGUUCUUCCUCUCCUCCUCCAAUCCCUCUUGUGAUUCCUGUACUCUUUGAGUUGUAAUUCGAUUCAGAUGAUGAUUUAGUAGUACAUCUAAUGGGUUGCUCACAUCUGGUAUCAGAGCCAUCGUUCCUACGCCUGGAAUUUUUUCUUCUGUCCACCCCACCAUAUCCACCCACCAACUGUUCGACAAAAUGCCAACCCACAAAUUCGCGUGUCCAGGAGGUGUUCUUCACAUCAGGAUGACCGAUGUGCUCCAUCGAGUGACCGUACAGAUGCUCCGCCAGUUGUUUUGUUGCUCUGGUGCUGGUGACAUGAUGUGUGUCUUCGAGAGAGUGGUGGACGGGAUGUACGGUGUGGAGGCGUACGUACAGUUCCGUUCUCGGUGGGAGGCGGCCCGUGCUCGUGAUGCUCUGGACGGCCAGGCUAUCUACGAUGGGUGUUGCUUCCUUGCCGUCGACCUCAUACCGCCGAUCUACACCGCUAUCACGACGCCGUCGGAGGACAAGUUGGCUCCGACGUACUUCUACGACGACACACCGUAUGCUGCUUGGUCUGCAACUCUCUUUUCGGCCGAGCGCCAUGAGGCACCAGCUUGUGUCCCUGGCAUGUCGCUAUUCAGUGCGUCACCACCGCCAACGAAGGCGGCCAUCAAGCCCAGUGCAUCAGUGUUGUCCGCGAACGAUCCCUCCCUCAUGGUGCACACCACCUGCUCGAUUGGGUGCACAAGUGGAGACACUAGCACAGCAACGAGCCCGUGCACUCAUUCAUCAGUGCCAGCUUCAUCUACAUCCACACCGAAUUCAUCCGCGGACGUCCUGACUGUGUGCGUGACGCAUGAGGCUGAGGACAUGAACCUCACUUCCCUGGCGGCUUCCCCCAUGUGCCUGAGUGGCGACGCUAACGCAGCAGCGUCUACGGUGCUCGCCGCUGCCCUUGCUGCAGCAGUGCCCCCCAGCAGUUGCGAUGCACAUGAGAUGUCUGUGGCCGUUGCCGAGCAGCAUGGCAAAUCCGCGAAGGAUGAUUCUGUUGUGACAAAAGAUAAAGAUGCAUAGAAGUCUAUAGUUCUCCAAGACCUUUGUUUUGCUUCAUUGGAUACCCAGUUGUUCUCGGUUGUCCAGAGGAUGUUCAUCAUGCUCUGUGCCUGAUUUGGCCUUCCCAUGUGCAAGCUAGUUUCUAUGGAGUCUGCUUGCUACGACAGUUUUGCUUCCUUCCUACAUUGUCCUUUCCUUGGAAUCCUGGUGGUACUCUGCAUGGGUAUAGCAACCAAUUAACUGCCAUUUCUACUCUUGCUACUCAAGGUCCAUAUUUGCAUGGUCACUGCCCAAUUGAGGAAUCAUGGAUUUGCAAUUUCAGAAUUCUCAACAUGCAUGACCUAUGGGUAUCCUUAGUGGAGCUGAAACCAUGGCCUUCCUGGCAGCAUUAUUGUUAUUUCGUUUUACUUGAGCAUUCACCCUGCAGUGUUACUAAUGGAGAGUUCCCGGCCACUACAAACUCAGCAAGUUGGCACUAUACUGUUGCAGCAAAUGGUGCUGAUUUUAGGUUAUACAAUGUGCCUUGUCAUGGUUCACAAUUCUUCCUCCGUCGCAACCCUGCACUUGGUUAUUUAUGUUGCUUGUGUUGACAUGACUUGUGACUGCUCAAGCUCAGGAAUGGUGUUAGUGGGCCACAAUUCUAAGCAAUAUGACUGAGCUGUUGCAAUGGAGGAUAGCUUGGUCCUUAGGUAAGGCACUAUUGCACUAUGCAUUUCAGUCUCUUAGCAGUGAUGAGUGCUUGGCAUUACAGUGGGAUUCUGAACAACAAACAGUUGAGCAUCAACAAUAUAUAAUUAGCUGGUUGAACCGUUUUAUUUUUAACCGAUGCAUUCCUCUACCCGGGCCUAUGGAUUUCCCUCCAGCAAAACGCAUGCAAAUUAUGUUUCUGUUUUGCACUCUUGGGGAUGUUUCCUAUUGUUCUGAACUAUUUCAGUGUGAAAUUGCUUGGUUGCACAGUUAUGGGUGUUCUAGAGCAGUUGCAACCCAUGGGCACUUUCACAUGGUAAAAUACAUGCACGGUGAAGGACUUCGAGCUCCUGAUGUAUCUGAUUGUGCACGCGCAGAUCAGAAUUUGUUCUUCAGAGUUUUGGGGCUGGUGCUAGUUUUUAUUCCAUUACUUGCUGCAGGACAACCGGGUUAUAAGUGGCAUUCUUUUGAGCUGGAGAUGGUGACUGAUAGUUCCUUGUGUUGUCUCCUGUUUCAUUGGGCAUAUGGUUCAGUGUAUUUCUGAUCUUAUCGAAUGGAAGGUUGAAUGGUCACUUGAAUUGGAGUGCUCUGCCGGUGGACAUAAGUCAGCACAACCAUUCUCUACAGCAACAGUGAGGUGUGACGAUUCUCAUGCAAAGAGAAGUGUAGCUAUACUCCAGUGUUGCUUCGAUUUGCAAGCGCCCUGGGAUCCCGGUGGUUUGUCACAAUGUCGGCUACAAGGAAUGCCUCAAUCCAGAACUGGUUCUAAUAUGGUUUCGACUCACCCCGCGCACAUCAUGGGACCCUGGUGGUUUGACAUGGAGUCGGCUUGAGGGCAAGCCGCAUUUUAUGGAGGGGGGCUUGUCAGCGUCUCUGUCUACACGGACCCAUCGACCAGCUUCCUUAGGCACGGCUCCACCUGUAAGGCACGCGAGGACAUAUACAAAUACCUAAGGAGCUGCUCUAUCGAGACUUGGCUUGGAACGAAUAGGAUGGCGGCUACGGUCGAGGCUGGCUAGGCGUGCUCUGUCUUCUUCUUCCUCUCAUGUUCUUCCUCUCCACCUCCAAUCCCUCUUGUGAUUCCUGUACUCUUUGAGUUGUAAUUCGAUUCAGAUGAUGAUUUAGUAGUACAUCUAGUGGGUUGCUCACACGCAGAAC
Molecule: long non-coding RNA, 3039 nt
Filed under: Brachypodium distachyon (stiff brome)
Lineage: Eukaryota; Viridiplantae; Streptophyta; Magnoliopsida; Poales; Poaceae
Description: long non-coding RNA (BDIS_LNC002035)
Source: RNAcentral